RNAcentral lists this ribosomal RNA (587 nucleotides) under uncultured Lactobacillus sp. RNAcentral's name for it is "bacterial SSU rRNA". It matches the Rfam family "Bacterial small subunit ribosomal RNA", at positions 771 to 1358 of the family's 1533-position model. Lineage: Bacteria; Bacillati; Bacillota; Bacilli; Lactobacillales; Lactobacillaceae. The record is from RNAcentral.
AACCGGAUUAGAUACCCUGGUAGUCCAUGCCGUAAACGAUGAGUGCUAAGUGUUGGAGGGUUUCCGCCCUUCAGUGCUGCAGCUAACGCAUUAAGCACUCCGCCUGGGGAGUACGACCGCAAGGUUGAAACUCAAAGGAAUUGACGGGGGCCCGCACAAGCGGUGGAGCAUGUGGUUUAAUUCGAUGCUACGCGAAGAACCUUACCAGGUCUUGACAUCUUCUGCCAACCUAAGAGAUUAGGCGUUCCCUUCGGGGACAGAAUGACAGGUGGUGCAUGGUUGUCGUCAGCUCGUGUCGUGAGAUGUUGGGUUAAGUCCCGCAACGAGCGCAACCCUUAUUGUUAGUUGCCAGCAUUUAGUUGGGCACUCUAGCAAGACUGCCGGUGACAAACCGGAGGAAGGUGGGGAUGACGUCAAAUCAUCAUGCCCCUUAUGACCUGGGCUACACACGUGCUACAAUGGACGGUACAACGAGUCGCGAAACCGCGAGGUCAAGCUAAUCUCUUAAAGCCGUUCUCAGUUCGGAUUGUAGGCUGCAACUCGCCUACAUGAAGUUGGAAUCGCUAGUAAUCGUGGAUCAGCAUGNC